GAAAUGCGAUAAUUAAUGUGAAUUGCAGAAUUCAGUGAAUCAUCGAGUCUUUGAACGCACAUUGCGCCCCCUGGUAUUCCGGGGGGCAUGCCUGUCCGAGCGUCAUUGCUGCCCUCAAGCACGGCUUGUGUGUUGGGCUUCCGUCCCUGGCAACGGGGACGGGCCCAAAAGGCAGUGGCGGCACCAUGUCUGGUCCUCGAGCGUAUGGGGCUUUGUCACCCGCUCCCGUAGGUCCAGCUGGCAGCUAGCCUCGCAACCAAUCUUUUUAACCAGCUUGACCUCGGAUCAGGUAGGGAUACCCGCUGAACUUAAGC
This 314-nucleotide unclassified non-coding RNA is filed under the name plant metagenome. RNAcentral describes it as "partial contains 5.8S ribosomal RNA, internal transcribed spacer 2, and large subunit ribosomal RNA". The stretch from base 1 to 105 matches the Rfam family "5.8S ribosomal RNA", at positions 50 to 154 of the family's 154-position model. The record is from RNAcentral.